Panthera leo (lion) is the source of this 105-nucleotide small nuclear RNA. The record is from Ensembl. Lineage: Eukaryota; Metazoa; Chordata; Mammalia; Carnivora; Felidae.
GCUCACUUUGGCGGUGCAUAUACUAAAAUCAGAACAAAACAGAAAACAUUAGCAUGGCCUUUGUGCAAGGAUGACAUGCAAACUGAUGAAGCAUUCCAUAUUUUU